UAAAUUCAAAGAUAACUCUUGAAUUAGAGCUUCUGCAUACUGCUCAGGGCUAUAAAUGUGACUUGUUGGGUAGAAUUGGGGAAGAAAGUAAUUGUUUAUGUAAUCGUUACUUCCAAUAUUCACAUAAUACAAGCAUUUGUUAAGGUAUUGUUGAGCUUUGUCAAUACCUCCAAGUCUGCUAGCAAUUUGAGAAACUAUAACUCUGUGAUUUCUUAACUGUAAUCCCAAGCUAAUAGCAUAACCCUGUACGGACAUAAUGUUAUUUUUGCGGCAUGUGUAUGAGUAAUGUAACAAAAAUACUCUAAUCAUCUACUAAAAACUAAUUUAAACCUUAGCUGAGUAUGUCUCCAUACGAAUUCCAGCUCCGCCAGAUGCAUAGUUCACACCUUUGAGUAUGUCUGAACCACUGAUGUUUGCAAAUGGUGGAAUGAAAUUCUCAAAUCCAAGAAGUUGAGCUGCAAUCAAAAGGACUUGAGUUUGAGCUUAAUUAAAAAGAGAGAUUAAAUUUGAUAAUAAUAUAGCCAAGUUGAAAGAAUGUUACUUAUUAUGUCAAUUGCAGUUCUACCGUUGGUAAAUCUUCCGGUUGGACCCAUCGGAAAGUCAAUUCCAUAAGGUUUGUAAUUAGAUUUUGCAGAGGUAGGAAGGUUAUUGUUGUUUCCACUAUCAGAUAAAGAAUCUCCAAAGAUAAAUACACAAGGCACUUGAGAUUUCCCAUUGACACAUUGUUUAAAAUAGUUUGCAGACAAGAAAACAAUAAGAACCACCAACCAUGUUUUGAUUAUAGAUUCCAUCUCUAAGAAGAAAGUCUAAUGAAGCUACAGAAUCCAGAUGAUAAUUAAGGAACCAACCAAGAACAAACAAGUUGAAGACAUAAAUAUUAAUGAUGGGACCACUCAAUUUUAAAAAAGAAAAUAUUGGUUUUUUGCAAGUUAUUACAUUAUUAAAAGCUAAUUUACUCUACACACUACAAAGUAUCAUGUGUGGCAUGCCAUCGAACUAUAAAAACUAAUUUCUUCAUAUUGAAGCAAUAAACUAAAACAUAAAAUUAUACUAUAAACUAAGAAACUCGCCUUAGUCAAAUUAAGGGUGCCACAACUAUUCCUUAGCGUUAGCGAGCAAUAAUAUAUUCACCACAAACUCAAAGCUUCUUGAAAUGUUCUUAAGAAGAUGGAAAGAGUUUGAAAAAACUAUAUACUAACUACUUCAUAUAUAUAUAUACCCUCCGGUCACUAAUAUAAGCAAAAAUUCACUUUUAAAAUACAUUCAAUUAAUGAUAUAUGUGACAUAUAAUAAAGACCACAUACAUCAUUAAUUGAAUGUAUCUAAAAAGUAGAUUUUUGCUUAUAUUAGUGACCGGAGGGUGUAUAUAUCUUAAGAAAGACACGUUAUCAACAUGUUGAAAUAAUACUACCGGAAAAAUUGCAAUCGCGGGCCCCACUUUUCUGUUCUGUAGUGAAUGGUAGAAAAGGACUAUUUCAGACUUUCAGUUGGGGUGCCAACUUUUAUAUAUGUUGGUAGUACAUUAUUGAGUAAUGAUACAUAGACACCCUUUAUUCCCAUACACCCUUGUACACGCCAUGCAUUAGGAAGAGAAAAGAGAAAGUGUGCUUGUGCGGGAUCCACGUGACUACGUGUCAGAUUUUUAUGUGGGUGUCAAAGGGUGUAUUGCCACCUAAGAGUGUCUAUGUAUCAUUACUCUACAUUAUUAGAUUGAAUGAAUGGUCUCUGAUUUCUUAUAUGUUGUUAAUUAACUCCGUUUGAAAGUUGGAAGCACUUUUCUUGGUUAGUGCGCAUAUGUAGCGCCGACACUUUUAAUAGAAGGUGUGUUUGGUGUCCGACACUAACAAGAACAACACAUGAGUUCUCUUAAUACUGAAGGAUGUUUAGCUUGAUAGUUUAGUGAUAGAAAAUCCAUUUUUGUUUUCAUUCUGCAUCAAAGGACCAUUACAGUAAGCCAUGGUUUAGUGAAGCCUGAACUAUAUGUAUAUCAUCAUAUGACCUUAUUGCAGUGAGUAGGUUCCAAGCCUCAGUGGGACGAAAUUAACAAUUGUAAAAACCAACUCAACUAUCAUCAUUAUCAUCCACUUAAAUUUGAUCCACCUCCUUUGCUAAAGUUAUCAACUAGCUUAUCAAACACAAAUCGGAUCAAACUUGAGGUAGCAGAACAUAUUACACUUAUUUUAUUUAAUUCUAGUUUACAGUAGUCCGUACAAUUUGAUAUUAAAAGAUUGUUUCAAAUGUAGGUAGGACAAGAAUUAAUGAACGUGUACAAAUAACUUGAACCUAUUUAACUAGAGGCACUAAGCUGUGAAGUGAAAUCCAAUUCCAUUUCAAUUUCUUGUUCAACAAGGUUCUUAAUAUCCAUUGGAUAAGUGAACCCUGAAUUAUGUGAAUUAUAAGACCUUAUUGCAUAGAGUUGGUUGCUUGCCUCAGUGGGAUGGACUUCAUCCCAAAACGCAUACUCACUCCUAUUAUAGCAUGGCCUUUCAUCAGGAAUACACCCUGAUGGGCAACAAGGAACAUUUGAAACCAAAAACCCUGAAAGCCAUGGAACAUGUAGCAUGUUUAUAUAUUGUAUAAACUUCAAUCAAUCACAUUAAAUUGCAAUUAAUUAUAGUAUAUGAAUUGAAAUUUAAGUAAACUAAAAUUAUUACCAUCUGAAUUCUGGGCAUCUGACUCUAACGUAGUGUUUACAAAUAUGAAUUUGGAAUCAGCGGAGAACUUAUUAUUGAAAUGAUCCACUAAAAAUUUAAGCUUGAAAUUGAAAAUCAAUGCAGGGGCAUUUUCCUCAUCAACGCAGGACCCGUUUGUUCCAUGAGUAAAGAUGGCACUUGGUGUGCAGCCCAAAAGGCCUAACCCUACUAACACAUAUUUUCUAGCUCCAAUGUCAUGUAAAGUCUGUUACAAAUAAUAGAUGGCAUUAUUAAACCAUCCUGUGUAACUCCAAAUAAUAUGCUACUAUUGUAAUUUUCCAAAUCAUUUUGUGAAAACUAAAAACAAAGGUCAAACACAGAGUUUGAGUGGAUACCAAUAAAUUUAAAGAUAACUCUUGAAUUAGAGCUUCUGCAUAUUGCUCAGGGCUAUAAAUUUGACUUGUUGGGUAGAAUUGAGGACGAAAGUAAUUGUUUAUGUAAUCAUUACUGCCAAUAUUCACAUAAUACAAGCAUUUGCUAAGGUAUUCUUGAGCUUUGUCAAUACCUUCAAGUCUGCUAGCAAUUCGAGAAACUAUAACUUUGUGAUUUUCUAACUGUAAUCCCAAACUGAUAACAAAACCCUGCACAGAAAUAAUGUUAUUUUGGUGGCAUAUGUAUGAGCAAUGUGACAAAAAUACACAAGUCAUCUACUAAUAACUAAUUGAAGAUAAUGAUGAACAAUCAAAUAAAUGAAAAGGCUCUUUGAUCA
Molecule: long non-coding RNA, 3402 nt
Filed under: Medicago truncatula (barrel medic)
Lineage: Eukaryota; Viridiplantae; Streptophyta; Magnoliopsida; Fabales; Fabaceae
Description: long non-coding RNA (MTRU_LNC008057)
Source: RNAcentral